RNAcentral lists this ribosomal RNA (440 nucleotides) under uncultured bacterium. Its description in RNAcentral is "partial 16S ribosomal RNA". It matches the Rfam family "Bacterial small subunit ribosomal RNA", at positions 338 to 795 of the family's 1533-position model. The record is from RNAcentral.
CCUACGGGGGGCAGCAGUGGGGAAUAUUGCACAAUGGGGGAAACCCUGAUGCAGCAACGCCGCGUGAGUGAAGAAGUACUUCGGUAUGUAAAGCUCUAUCAGCAGGGAAGAAGAUGACGGUACCUGAGUAAGAAGCCCCGGCUAACGACGUGCCAGCAGCCGCGGUAAUACGUAGGGGGCCAGCGUUAUCCGGAUUUACUGGGUGUAAAGGGCGCGUAGAGGGUGAGACAAGUCUGAAGUGAAAGGCGGGGGCUCAACCCCGGGACUGCUUUGGAAACUGCCUGACUGGAGUGCCGGAGAGGCAAGCGGAAUGCCUAGUGUAGCGGUGAAAUGCGUAGAUAUUAGGAAGAACACCAGUGGCGAAGGCGGCUUGCUGGACAGUAACUGACGUUGAGGCUCGAAAGCGUGGGGAGCAAACAGGAUUAGAUACCCCAGUAGUC